UACGGAGGAGGCCAGCGUUAUCCGGAAUUAUUGGGCGUAAAGCGACCGUAGGCGGUUCACCAAGUCUGCUGUCAAAGGGUGGGGCUUAACCUCAUAAAGGCAGUGGAAACUGGUGAGCUAGAGUGCGGUAGGGGUAAGGGGAAUUCCCAGUGUAGCGGUGAAAUGCGUAGAGAUUGGGAAGAACAUCGGUGGCGAAAGCGCCGUACUGGGCCUGCACUGACACUGAGGGACGACAGCUAGGGGAGCGAAAGGG
RNAcentral lists this ribosomal RNA (253 nucleotides) under uncultured bacterium. Its description in RNAcentral is "partial 16S ribosomal RNA". It matches the Rfam family "Bacterial small subunit ribosomal RNA", at positions 524 to 776 of the family's 1533-position model. The record is from RNAcentral.